This is a non-coding RNA of Planctomycetales bacterium 71-10, 74 nucleotides long. The record is from Rfam. NCBI's taxonomy places the organism in Bacteria, Pseudomonadati, Planctomycetota, Planctomycetia, Planctomycetales.
GGGCGAUUAGCUCAGUUGGCUAGAGCGCAUGCUCGACACGCAUGAGGUCACAGGUUCGAAUCCUGUAUCGCCCA